This is a long non-coding RNA of Diuraphis noxia (Russian wheat aphid), 893 nucleotides long. Lineage: Eukaryota; Metazoa; Arthropoda; Insecta; Hemiptera; Aphididae. The record is from RefSeq and is a predicted model, not a curated record.
GGUCGAUUCGGUCUGGUGCAAUGACCACAGAGCUAACAAAAUAGGGAUAGGUAAUUCUUAAACUAACUUAAACUACUGAAGUCUGAAGGGUGGUGUGCUGGUGUUGAUUUGCAGGAACCUGACGACCUGGGCGGCCUCUCACACAACAUAAGUUGCUGGCGGACUUACGCGGUGACACUCGCUCGAUGAUGACGUGGAGGUGAACCAACGCGAAACACAGUAGUCGGGAGACGUGGGCAAUGUUGAUUACGUUCCAGUCUUAUCCAAUGACAAAAUUUGAUCACCCAUAGGCACAAAUAGAGUUUGAAAUCUGGGGGGGGGGCUGAAGCUGUAGCUCAGAUCAGGAUACUGAAUACUCUUAUGAUGCUUUUAAAUUAAAUAAUGUGUAUCAUGAAGUAAAAUUAUUUGAUUUUUGGGAGGCUAUACCAAUUUGUAGGGGGCUAAGCCCCCUUGCGCCUAUGUGGUCAACAAACCCGUAGUACUAAUGCAUCAUAUUACAACUGCCUUGAAUGGCUUUAAUAUAGUAUCAUCAAUGAUGCUUUGUACUGUUUUGCCUGUCGUAUUUAAUUGUUCUGGGAACAAUAUCGAAGAUACAUUUACUAUAAUUUGUUUUAAAAAUGGAAUAAAUUAAGUAGUUCAAGAGGAUCUAUAAAAGGCCAUCAAAAUAGACUUCAUUCUAAAGUAACAACAAAAUAUCAUCUGGCUAAUAUGGAAAAAUGGCAGUCACAUAAAGACAUUGAAAAAACUGGUAGUGUUGGCACAGGUUUCUUCUCAACAUAAGCUACUUAUUGAAAGUAAUCGUAGAUAUAUAAGAACUUUGUGURAAGUGACACUAYUUUUGUGCAGACAAGGCCUACCAUUUAGAGGCCACAAUGAAGCUCACAGCUCUAUGA